Long non-coding RNA from Humulus lupulus (European hop), 1876 nucleotides. RefSeq lists it as uncharacterized. NCBI's taxonomy places the organism in Eukaryota, Viridiplantae, Streptophyta, Magnoliopsida, Rosales, Cannabaceae. The record is from RefSeq and is a predicted model, not a curated record. The transcript is spliced from 3 exons.
CAAGACUUAUCCCAUGUUUUAUUCAAUGAAGGGAUACUAAGCUAAGUGUGUGAAUUUCCGAGUGGCCACGGUUAUUUGCAUUCUAGCAUAGUAUCAAUAUGCCCUUUAUUAUUUUAUACAUUUGGAAACAAUUUUGAUUUUUAAAUGUUUUCUUAGAGAAAGAAUGAGAGUCAGGCUUUUCUGAACUGGUACCUAAUGAAUGGCCUAUCUCACUAUUUCUCAUUCAGGGCAAGAAGUCGGUUUUGACAACGAAAGGGUUUCACAGAGACUUGGUUUUAAAGAAUAAUCUUCAUCGGCUAUAUAAUUGUUUUCUAGUUAUCCAAAAUAUUUUUUUAUGCCGAAAAAAUUUCUAUUGAACAAACUUGUUGCUCAAUUUAGCAUCUAUUAUCAAGGUAUAACCAGUCAAUUGCAUCUGCUUAAAAAAAAAAAAAAAAAAAUUGACUGUAAGACAUGAAGAUCAAGGAUGUUUUCAUGAUGAUGGUCAUUUUCUCUUCUUACGUUAUGUGGUUUGUGUUCAAAAGUAUGGAUGAUGAGGAUUCGUUUGUAUUUUCGUAUACAUUCAUUGUAAUUUAUACUAUUGUUAUAGCUUAUUUCCUUUCUAUCUAUAUUGUAGUCCUCAUGUGAGGUGUUUACACAUCCUCGCCUUUUUAUAUAUGAUAAGGAUUACAAGAAGUCAGGAAUAAGUUUUGUUUUCGGGGUGAAAGUAAGUGUUGUGUAUAAAAUCUUAUGCUGUGAAAUGUUGUUCUGUUUAUUUGUAAUGGUAGUUCUUGUCUCCGAUUAUCAAAUUUUAGUUUGAAAUUUCGAGGACGAAAUUAUUUUAACGGGGGAAGGAUUGUAAUAUCCAACAUUUUCAUAAUACAUUUAUUUAUUAUAAAUCAAAGUUUUAAUACAUAAAAUGUACAACUUUACAAAUUAAGAAAUAGUAAUGGAAAAAUAGUGUUUAAAAUAUGAUUUUAUGUUUUUAAUGAGAUUAAAGAAAGAGAAACUUGAGUAGUCAAGUAUUGGACCCAAAUGUCAUAUAAUUUUAAUUGGAGAUUUUUAUAAAAUUAAGAAAGUUUGGCUAAAGGGCUUAUUUGAAAAGAAUUUUAGUAUUUUGGGUCCAAGUGUAAUUUUUAAAAAUAAAUAAAUAAAUAAAAUAAAAUAAAAGGCUUCAGCCUUUCAUUUUACCCGAGCCCCUCUCUCUCUCUCCUCAGAAACUCUCUCUCUCUCUCUCUCUCUCUCUCUCUCUCUCUCUCUCUGCGUGUUACUGUUGCCGACGACGCAGGAGUACUUUCUGGCCACCAUUUUUAGCCACGCGCCGGACCGUUGGAUUCAGAGGCCUCCGAACUAUCGACCCACGCGGGAAUCUAGAGCUCACUCGCCGAUUAAACGCCUCAACCACUCGAUUUAAGUUCGGCCACCCCGCGACUUCAAAGUUGCGAUUCGGCCACCUCGGGCAUCCGUUUGCCGAUCCGUCACCACCAUCGUGCUCCUCGUGUUGUGGGCUUCAAAACCCAAUAACUUGUUCCUACAUCUACCAUAGUUGGGUGGUGGGCCCACCACGAGCCACCGCGAUCCACCGUAGACCGACGGUCGAAACUUAGUGUUCGAGGUUCCGAAGUACGUUUUGAGUCUCAGAAAAUCAUCGUUUGACUUAUUGUGGAACCCGAUCAUUUUGGAUUUGUAUGGAUUUGAUUGAUUGACUCUUGGUGAGCCGUUUUAAAAUAAGCUAAGGACCUAAGGUGUGGCUUUAGCUGUUGAGCAACUUGUGGAGCACGGACUCAGUAGCAAUGCAAUAAUAGUUUAGAGUUUUCAUAUGGCUGCCUUAAAUUUAAAGUAUUCAUACGUGUAAUAAUUUCUUCUAAUAAGUUUAUAUAAAAGUUUAAAUUUUUCUGUA